GAUGAAGAACGCAGUGAAAUGCGAUAAUUAAUGUGAAUUGCAGAAUUCAGUGAAUCAUCGAGUCUUUGAACGCACAUUGCGCCCCCUGGUAUUCCGGGGGGCAUGCCUGUCCGAGCGUCAUUGCUGCCCUCAAGCACGUCUUGUGUGUUGGGCUUCCGUCCCUGGCAACGGGGACGGGCCCAAACGGCAGUGGCGGCACCAUGUCUGGUCCUCGAGCGUAUGGGGCUUUGUCACCCGCUCCCGUAGGUCCAGCUGGCAGCUAGCCUCGCAACCAAUCUUUUUAACCAGGUUGACCUCGGAUCAGGUAGGGAUACCCGCUGAACUUAAGCAUAUCAAUAAGCGGAGGA
This 347-nucleotide unclassified non-coding RNA is filed under the name soil metagenome. RNAcentral describes it as "partial contains 5.8S ribosomal RNA, internal transcribed spacer 2, and large subunit ribosomal RNA". The stretch from base 1 to 120 matches the Rfam family "5.8S ribosomal RNA", at positions 35 to 154 of the family's 154-position model. The record is from RNAcentral.